This 264-nucleotide ribosomal RNA is filed under the name uncultured bacterium. RNAcentral describes it as "partial 16S ribosomal RNA". It matches the Rfam family "Bacterial small subunit ribosomal RNA", at positions 57 to 305 of the family's 1533-position model. The record is from RNAcentral.
GCAAGUCGCGCGAGAACGUCGACUUCGGUUGACUAGUAAAGCGGCGAACGGGUGAGUAACACGUGGAUAACCUGCCUUGGAGUGGGGGAUAACCUGGGGAAACUCGGGCUAAUACCGCAUACGUUCUCGGCAUUGAGGUGCUGAGAGGAAAGCUAGCCUAUUCUUGAAAGCUAGCGCUCUUGGAGGGGUCCGCGCCCGAUUAGCUAGUUGGUGGGGUAAUGGCCCACCAAGGCUGCGAUCGGUAGCCGGCCUGAGAGGGCGAUC